Molecule: long non-coding RNA, 4656 nt
Organism: Alexandromys fortis (reed vole)
Lineage: Eukaryota; Metazoa; Chordata; Mammalia; Rodentia; Cricetidae
Exons: 5
Source: RefSeq, a predicted model, not a curated record
CGUGUGCCACCACUAUCCCUUUUUUAAUAUUUAUUUAUUUAUUAUGUAUACAAUAUUCUGUCUGUGUGUAUGUCUGCAGGCCAGAAGAGGGCACCAGACCCCAUUACAGAUGGUUGUGAGCCACCAUGUGGUUGCUGGGAAUUGAACUCAGGACCUUUGGAAGAACAGGCAAUGCUCUUAACCUCUGAGCCAUCUCUCCAGCCUCACAAAAUCAAUUCAUUUAUUGGAGAAGCUUCCCAGCCUUCGCAGCAGUGUCAACGACCGAUAAGAACGGAAGCAGAACGGAUAUUGUUUAAUCAUCACUGCAGUGAAGAUAAAACCUAAAGUGAUGUUUGCAUAUGAACUCCAUCUACGUGCAGUGGGAAAAUGAGGUGGAACAUUGAUGAGCAAUGUAGGUGAAUUUGUGACAGCCAUAGGCAUCGUCACUGGGUCUUGUCCCACCUGCUCCGUGACACAGAGGGAUCGUGACUCACAAGAACGCCUGCACUGUGUGACUGUUCUUAAGAAACCCCCAAACAAUAUUACAAUAGCGUAAUCUUACAUUUUAUUUUGAAAAAUGUUCAUGAAUACCCCGAAAUUUGCUCUGAGAGAAUGCUGGGAAGUGCCUGCCUCACUCUUAUACUGGAAAAAGAAGGCCGGAAGCAAUCUGAUGCCCAUCACGUACCAUGGUGAAUGUCUUCACAGGACUAGCGGAAAACAGAAUCCAGGUCAUGAUGAAUGGCAGACAGACGUUCCCAGCCAGUUCUGGUUCUGAAAGGUCCUCUUCACUCCGCUUACCCUCCAGGGAGCUGAAAAUGGAAGAUGAGAAGGUUAUAAGGGUUCAGAAGGCUGCGUUACUGUUUGACGUGUGCACGUAUUUCUUUCUGAUUUGUAGUCAUCGUUGCAUUUGUGCUGGCAACAGCACUUCCUCAGGGUACACUAAUGUUUUUGAUUGUCAUGUUUGGCACAAAUUGGGUCUUAAGGACUGAUUAUUGAGACUGGUCUAAGUCUUAAUUUGGAAAUAAUCCUUCCUAUCCAACAAUGGCACAGAAGAGACUCCCGCAGCCUCCCUGGCUGCUUCCCGCUAGUAUCUGCAAGUGAAAAUCAUAUUUUUCUGGGGGUCAGACUUUCCACUUUACAUUUCCUAAUAUCACUUUUUUUUUUAAAAAAAUUAGACUUCCAUAAAAGAACCCUGACACAGCCCGAGGCCCGGGGACAGAAUACGCAUACCAAUAGCACUUCUCCCGAUCCCUGCCCUUUGUCCCUAUGUACACUCUGUUCAAAGAGUCGCCCUCAAAUGCAGUUCUGAGGCUGCAACAACAAACCUUCCCUCAGAAUCCUUUGGCAGAGAAGCUGAGGUAGUGCCAGGAAGAAACACGCCAAGGCCCAAUUACUUCCCCCAAUGGCUGAGCAUCCUGCAUAGAACUGCACAAUGUCCCAUCUCCCUCUCAGUGCAAACCGGGGCAUGGUUUUUUUUCCCCCCUUGUUUUCUGCCAUUUCUAGAUGCUGAGAUUAUGUCACACACUAAACAGAGAAGGAGGGAGUAAGCAUCUAUCACUCACCUGGGCAAAGUGCCAUAGAGAACCACUGGAUGCAAUUUGCUUUGAUUGCUUUCUUCUGUGUGUGUGGCAUUGAAAAGCUGCUGGCAGUGUUAUAGUCAAGGGCACCUUGGCACUGGGCACUCAGCAGGACCUUAGGGACCAUUCAGCAGCAUCAGGAGGAGGCCUGCUGAGCAUAACUGAUUAUUCAGGGCUACACACUGUACCCCAGUUUCAAAUAAGCGAAAAGGAAUGGCAAAUGGUCGGCUUGAAUUCUUAACUCCCCAUGCUACCUUGAGGGAGCAUCGACCACCGUGGACCUAUAAAGGUAAUCUGAUUCAAAUCCUCUUUACUGUGUCGUUUCCUUUUGGAAGAGAGGCAGGUCUGGAGAUGGGAAGAUGAAGCGUGAGAUUAUUUCCCUUCUUGUCUUCCUCCAUUAGCCAUCUACAUAUGUAAAUACCUGCGAUAAAAGAUUAGGGCAAGCCAUAAACAAUGCCCAGUGAACCAUCAGGAAAUAAAGACAUUAUGUCUGGGCGAGUUCCUGACCAAAGGGACCCCAAGCUACAGAGUUCUUAUAGAUUUCUUAUCAAUCACUUAACCCCCAAACAACCCAGGCUAUUGCCAAGGCUAUGGGUUGCUCUCCACACACCGAUAGUAAGGCUUGAUGUCUGAAGACAACAUCUGUACAACUCACUGAAUGCAGAGAAGUCAAGCUGGUGCCUAUGUAGAGCCUUCAUCCCUACUGGCUCAUGGCCAUGGUAGUGGAGGUAUUUUUCAGAGUACCAAAGGAGAAAGAUAAACACCGAGCCAGCUACACACUCUUUGAUCUACAAUGGUGUCCUGCCUGUGAAAUACACUUGUGCAAUAGUUGUGCAAAGCUUGUGGGAGUCUAUCCAAUAUCUGAUUGGAUUUAAGACCCACUCCGUGAGGUGAAACCCAUACCUGACACUGCUUAGGUAGCCAAGAAUCUGAUAGACGCUAUAUAGGCUGAAGAUAUAGAAAGAAAGUAAAUGCUACUCUUCUGUUAAAAACGAACUAACAAGAAAAUGACUCUUAAUGACACUGACAUUCUGCUAUACUCAUAGAUUAAUGUCUUGCUCAGCUAUCAUCGGAGAUGCUUCCUUCUGCAGUAGAUGAGAUAUUUCCAUCAGAUCCCUCCCUGCAGGGCCCAGGGAGGGAGAAAGAAUGCAAGAGCCAGAGGGGAUGGACGAAAUCAAGGAAAGAAGGCCUUCUAAACACAGUGCAACCAAAGCACAUAUGAGCUCAGAGAGACUGUGGCAGCGUGCACAGGACUUGCAUUGCUCUGCACCAGAUAGGGUCCCAGUGCUGAGAGGUGAAGGGGCACAAGUCCCCGUCCCUAAAUCAGAAUUUAUUUCCAAUGGAUAGUCACUUGCAAAUGAAAGAAUAUUUUUCUCCAGUGGAGUCUCACUGGGUAUAUAAUCUACUCUUAAGGGCAGGCCCCACACAUAGCAAUAGAUGGUCAACACAGAAUGAACUCAAUGACAUCUUUGAAGGCUCUUGGUCUCAGAAUUUCAGGACUUUUUACUUAUUUUUAAAUUUUACCUUACAGGUCAUUUGCAUAUGUUUUAUGCUUCCAGUUUUGUGUUUUUGUGGGAUUCCUGUAUCUCCGCAUUUGUCUGUGUUGUUUGUUUGUUCGUUUUUAAUGUGUGUGCUUUUUCUUUGUCUCUUUUUGUUCUAUUUGUUUGUUUUAGCCUAUUAUGGUUGUUUCUUGUUUUAUCUUAUUUUGCUAUUAUUUUUUAGGUGCGUGUUUGCUUUCUAAAGAGAAGCAGAAAGAGUGUGGACACAGAUGGGACGGGAGGUGGAGAGGACCUCAGAGGAGUUGGGAGGGGAAACCCUAAUCAGAAUAUAUUGUUUGAAACAAAUCUAUUUUCAAUAAGAGAAAAAGAAAAGAACCAGGAAAGAAAAAGAGAAAAGAGAUGAAGUUUAAUAAGUUAAGUAAGAGAUGCUGAGGUGGACCCGGAAGGCAGCGGCAGAGCCAUGAAUAAAAAGAGUGGUGGCGUCCCAGAUGCCAGGGAAGCAGGAGUCUGUUCAUAAUAGGGUUGGCAGGAUUGCUAAAAGACUCCACUCACAGCCUGAGAAGAAAAAGUAUACAGAAAUAGAAAGGGAGAUCUGACUCCCCAGUACGGGGGUAAAGGGUGAGGGAGAUCAGGAGCUCUGUUUGGUACAUGCUAAAUUUGAGGUCAAUAUUGUGUAAGAUCCCAUUGUGUAUGUUUACCUGGGAGACACAGAGAGGUCAAAGCCAGAGUUAGAAAUCUUGGAAACCUCAGCCUACAGGCAGUGUUUAACUACUCAGGGAGUGGAUGCUAAGGACAGGGUUGUACUGAGAGAAAAAGGUCAAGUGAGACCUAGCAACAUCAGCAUCAAAACCUUCCUUCACGUUGCUUAGAAUCCUUUCUCAGGGGAGCCAUACUUUUUCCUCAGUUAUACUAUCCUCCUGCAAUCAAUUCUUGUUCCAGCGUAAUAUUUUCUGCUGAUUCUAAAUACAAACUAAUCUUACUUUAGCUAUAUGUUUGUUAAAGAGAACUCAUAUUUAGCCGAGGAGCCUAGUCCACAACUUUCAGCUAUGUCGUUAUGGGAACAUAUGUUUUUAACUGCAAAUAAAUGUCUUUCAAAUGACCUUGGACUAUUAACCAAUUUCAGUCUCCAAAGUGACUAAUUCCAGUGCCAAAUUCUUAUACUUUCUAUUCUUUAUAUGUUUUCCCAAAUAUUCUUCAUCUUUAUCAUACAUUUUACAAUGCAGUCAGAAUAUCUUAUUUUAAUAUUUACGUUUUCAUUACUAUAUAUUUUUGUUUGCCUUUUAUAGUCUUUCUCUCCUGUGGCUUUUUCUUGCUGUGCCCAUGGAAGUACAUUAGGACUUCUGUAAUUUUACUAAUAAAAUAAUGUAUAUUAAAAUGAUACAUAGUAAGUUUUACAUAUUGCAAAAAAUAUAUUUACUUCCCCUAACUCUUACCUCAAAUUCAUGCCAGAGAAGCCUCAAAUGGGAGAGUUCUGGAGAUGUCGAGUUUGGCCUUCCACGUGUCUCUAGCAGCAGUGGGUAUUAAAGAGGAUGAGGGGCUACUGAAGUCAGAGGAUUUAGGUCGAACAACAGUAAGGUCUAUGUUAUUAUUCUUGUUUACCU